Panicum hallii is the source of this 1859-nucleotide long non-coding RNA. RefSeq lists it as uncharacterized. NCBI's taxonomy places the organism in Eukaryota, Viridiplantae, Streptophyta, Magnoliopsida, Poales, Poaceae. The record is from RefSeq and is a predicted model, not a curated record. The transcript is spliced from 7 exons.
CUUAUUACAACCUCCCUCGAAACGCAAUGCGUCCUCCCCUCCCAUGUGUUGCUCCUUCGUGCACCCCUGUUUCUCUGUCGGAGCUGCUUUGCUUCUUGCAUUGCUUGACGGCACCUGCAGUCGGCAAUGGCGUCCACCGCCGGCUCGACGCAAUGCCCAAAACGGCAUGCGCACGGAAACUGAUGCUACAGUAUCUAGGCAGAUUGCAGAGAGAGAGAGAGAGAGAGAGAAUGCACCGAUGCAACUGCAUUCUGGCCUAUACUUGUUUCUGACAUGGGCCUGAUAUUUAAGUAGCCCAGUCAACUUAUUUCUGACACAAUCUGGCCCAGCUUAACAUUUGCUUCCUCGUCAGGUCUCAGGCUCUCAGGCACCCCGGCGCGUACAAUGGCGGCCUCCUGAUCCCGGCGUCGGUGUCCACACGCGAAAGGAGCGCCGAUGCACCCGACGAGUAUGGCGUGCCGAAAAGUCGAGAGGUCUCUUCUCUCUUCCGCAGAUGUUCCUUCGCAUCUGGUAUUGUACUCUCUGCACCUGCUGGCAGCAAUCCUCCGUGGCGCCACACCACCUGUUCGACGGAAUGCCCACAAAUGACAAGCGAGGAUUGCGUCGGCACGCUUUUCUCCCAGUCCAUGCUGCUCGGAGGAUUGCUCUGAUCCAGCACAACUGUCAUACUACCGUUGUUGCUGCUCCGGCGGCCUUCCAGAGAGAUUUCUAUUCCAGUUCCACAAAUUUAUCGAACACCCUAUGUGCGGAGCACUACUUAGCUAGCAUGGAAUGCACUAACACAGGUAGCUCGUUCAGUGUUCACGCAUUUGGAUCGGGAAAUCCCACUUGUUCUAUGGUAGUUGCUGAUGUCAACAAUUUGUGGCAUUUCUAUUUGCAGCUCCUUGACUUUUGUUGUUUGCCAGGGAAGUUUCCUGGUACAUUGGUUUGUGCCAUUUCUUUCUUUAUUGGUUUGUGCCAUUUCUUUCUUUAUUCUACUCAAUAAGCAUAGUUGCUGACUGGAUGGCACUUGCUAAUUUAAUAGAGAAACAAUAGCUGUGAUGCGGGCAUUAAGAGAUAAGCAUUGGUACGGAGCUACCAAAAGCAGCAGUGAUCGCGCUGCCAUCUAGCUAAGCUGCAGCGCAUUCCUUAGUUAGAUCUGCGGCUGUGCAUCCUGCGCUGCCCCCUAAACCUCACUGAUUUGGACGAGAGCCAGAACCACAUUAGGUGAUGGAGUAGGUGGAGGAAGCAGCUGAUCCUAGCUGCAACUCGAGAUAAACUGAUCAAGCCCUUCCUUAGCAGGCAAUCGUUCACAAGUUCCAGACUGCCGUUGUUGCUGCUCUACACUUCUGAAGAGGGAUUCAGCAUGAUAGUCUUUCAAAUAUGAGUGGAAUGGAGGCUGCUUUAGCAUCUGGACUGUUGAAGGUUGCAGGAGACAAGCUAGUUUCACUAAUAAAGAGUGAGUUUGCUUCCAUAACUGGUGUGAAAAAAGAUCUGUCUGACCUCCAGGACAUACAUGGAGAGAUUACAAGCUGGCUGUCUCUAGUUCAUAUAAAUGAUAAAGGAGAUUCAGAGCCCAGGAGGGAUACACGGACAAGGCAGCAGCAUUCACACCUUGGUUCCAAUUUUGACAAGUAAAGAUGGAUUGGUGCUGCUGGUUGUCCACAUUUUCUUGAUUAUUCAGAACUUAAUUGCUUUGCUUGGCAGCGAUGUGGUACUCUCGUGCCAUGUACUGCUCGUCUGAACUUUUGUGUUUGUACCACUCGUACUCGUGUGGUUCCAGUGUGCCCAGUGACCACUGAGGAAGCAUACGUGUGCAUUUGCCUGCUGUAUUCUUGCUCUUGCUGUUCAUGGAAGCAGUGUUCAAAUUGUUUUAGAUG